GCCAGGCGUGGUGGUGCAUGCCUGUGUUCCCAGUUACUCGGGAGGCUGAGGUGGGAGGUUCACUUGAGCCCAGGAGUUUAGGGCUACAGUGAGCUGUGAUUGUGCCACUGUACUCCAGCCUGGGCGACAGAGUAAGACCCUGUCUCAA
Molecule: non-coding RNA, 148 nt
Organism: Nomascus leucogenys (northern white-cheeked gibbon)
Lineage: Eukaryota; Metazoa; Chordata; Mammalia; Primates; Hylobatidae
Rfam family: Metazoan signal recognition particle RNA
About the family: The signal recognition particle (SRP) is a universally conserved ribonucleoprotein. It is involved in the co-translational targeting of proteins to membranes. The eukaryotic SRP consists of a 300-nucleotide 7S RNA and six proteins: SRPs 72, 68, 54, 19, 14, and 9.
Source: Rfam